GACGAACGCUGGCGGCGUGCCUAAUACAUGCAAGUAGAACGCUGAAGAGAGGAGCUUGCUCUUCUUGGAUGAGUUGCGAACGGGUGAGUAACGCGUAGGUAACCUGCCUUGUAGCGGGGGAUAACUAUUGGAAACGAUAGCUAAUACCGCAUAACAAUGGAUGACACAUGUCAUUUAUUUGAAAGGGGCAAUUGCUCCACUACAAGAUGGACCUGCGUUGUAUUAGCUAGUAGGUGAGGUAACGGCUCACCUAGGCGACGAUACAUAGCCGACCUGAGAGGGUGAUCGGCCACACUGGGACUGAGACACGGCCCAGACUCCUACGGGAGGCAGCAGUAGGGAAUCUUCGGCAAUGGGGGCAACCCUGACCGAGCAACGCCGCGUGAGUGAAGAAGGUUUUCGGAUCGUAAAGCUCUGUUGUAAGUCAAGAACGAGUGUGAGAGUGGAAAGUUUACACUGUGACGGUAGCUUACCAGAAAGGGACGGCUAACUACGUGC
Molecule: ribosomal RNA, 498 nt
Filed under: uncultured bacterium
Lineage: Bacteria
Description: partial 16S ribosomal RNA
Rfam family: Bacterial small subunit ribosomal RNA
Source: RNAcentral